AUGAGUUGCGAACGGGUGAGUAACGCGUAGGUAACCUGCCUUGUAGCGGGGGAUAACUAUUGGAAACGAUAGCUAAUACCGCAUAACAAUGGAUGACACAUGUCAUUUAUUUGAAAGGGGCAAUUGCUCCACUACAAGAUGGACCUGCGUUGUAUUAGCUAGUAGGUGAGGUAAUGGCUCACCUAGGCGACGAUACAUAGCCGACCUGAGAGGGUGAUCGGCCACACUGGGACUGAGACACGGCCCAGACUCCUACGGGAGGCAGCAGUAGGGAAUCUUCGGCAAUGGGGGCAACCCUGACCGAGCAACGCCGCGUGAGUGAAGAAGGUUUUCGGAUCGUAAAGCUCUGUUGUAAGUCAAGAACGGGUGUGAGAGUGGAAAGUUCACACUGUGACGGUAGCUUACCAGAAAGGGACGGCUAACUACGUGCCAGCAGCCGCGGUAAUACGUAGGUCCCGAGCGUUGUCCGGAUUUAUUGGGCGUAAAGCGAGCGCAGGCGGUUUGAUAAGUCUGAAGUUAAAGGCUGUGGCUCAACCAUAGUUCGCUUUGGAAACUGUCAAACUUGAGUGCAGAAGGGGAGAGUGGAAUUCCAUGUGUAGCGGUGAAAUGCGUAGAUAUAUGGAGGAACACCGGUGGCGAAAGCGGCUCUCUGGUCUGUAACUGACGCUGAGGCUCGAAAGCGUGGGGAGCGAACAGGAUUAGAUACCCUGGUAGUCCACGCCGUAAACGAUGAGUGCUAGGUGUUGGAUCCUUUCCGGGAUUCAGUGCCGCAGCUAACGCAUUAAGCACUCCGCCUGGGGAGUACGACCGCAAGGUUGAAACUCAAAGGAAUUGACGGGGGCCCGCACAAGCGGUGGAGCAUGUGGUUUAAUUCGAAGCAACGCGAAGAACCUUACCAGGUCUUGACAUCCCGAUGCUAUUUCUAGAGAUAGAAAGUUACUUCGGUACAUCGGUGACAGGUGGUGCAUGGUUGUCGUCAGCUCGUGUCGUGAGAUGUUGGGUUAAGUCCCGCAACGAGCGCAACCCCUAUUGUUAGUUGCCAUCAUUCAGUUGGGCACUCUAGCGAGACUGCCGGUAAUAAACCGGAGGAAGGUGGGGAUGACGUCAAAUCAUCAUGCCCCUUAUGACCUGGGCUACACACGUGCUACAAUGGUUGGUACAACGAGUUGCGAGUCGGUGACGGCGAGCUAAUCUCUUAAAGCCAAUCUCAGUUCGGAUUGUAGGCUGCAACUCGCCUACAUGAAGUCGGAAUCGCUAGUAAUCGCGGAUCAGCACGCCGCGGUGAAUACGUUCCCGGGCCUUGUACACACCGCCCGUCACACCACGAGAGUUU
This 1333-nucleotide ribosomal RNA is filed under the name Streptococcus thermophilus. Its description in RNAcentral is "bacterial SSU rRNA". It matches the Rfam family "Bacterial small subunit ribosomal RNA", at positions 91 to 1413 of the family's 1533-position model. Lineage: Bacteria; Bacillati; Bacillota; Bacilli; Lactobacillales; Streptococcaceae. The record is from RNAcentral.